RNAcentral lists this long non-coding RNA (744 nucleotides) under Sinocyclocheilus grahami. RNAcentral's name for it is "lncRNA (ENSSGRG00000009467.1)". Lineage: Eukaryota; Metazoa; Chordata; Actinopteri; Cypriniformes; Cyprinidae. The record is from RNAcentral.
AACACACAUAAACACACAAAUGGCUGAUUCUCACUGUUAUAGUGUAUUUCAUCAGAAAUAUAUUUGCAUUGCAUAGCAUGAGAGCGGGAACGGAGACUGCUUGCUCACUACUUUUGAUUGGUGGAAAGAUGUGUCAAAUAUAUAGAGACAGCCCUGAUUGGCUGCUUGAAUCUCAAUUUAAAGUUUGCGGUCUUUCUUUUCGCGGAGACUCAGCACGGCACGGGUACUCAUGGGUCUUACAGGGCUUUCAACCCAGGAGGUCCUUCAAAAAAUAUCAGAAGCAGGCAUAGAAGUAACCGACGUCGAAGCCCAGAGAUUCAGAGAUAAUGAUGUGGAUGGUGAAACAGUUGACUGUGGCCUCACAGAGACUAUGGUUGCGUACUUGUUUCAAGGAUCUUUCAAGAAGCAGGCCAAAUUCAACCAGUUUGUAUGCAAGCUGAAAGAGCCAUUAGUAACAGACAUUAGAGCCUGUGCCUCCAGAGGAAUGCCAACAAUCUAGUUCUGCUAUACCAAGACACCUACAAACAAAGCUAGACAACAAGGAACCAUGCCAGAAAAAUCCAAAGGAUAGACACACAAUGAUCCGGGUUCUCUAUGAGGCUGUGGCACAAUACACAAUGUACGUAAAUGUGUUGAAGGCAAUAUUAGACAUGGGAAAGCGAUACAAUGAUUUGCAAGACUUGAAUGUCAGUGAUGUAUCAACCUAAGCUAGUAAAAAAAAAUAACUUUAUCUGCAUCUCGAAG